UGAGGGUGCAGUGUGAUUAGGGGUUUCUUCAGGGCUGCACUGGAAUGCCGUGGAACCCACAGCACCUUCCUCAGGAUCAGAGGGGCUCAGUGCUCUCCUGGUUUACUCUCGAAACGUCUACACUGUGCUGAGCUGGGGGCGGUGGUUGCAUUUCUCAAGCAAAGGCUCCUCCCUUCCCCCCAAGCAUCAAGAGCCCGAGUGACAUGUGGGAGUAAGGACAGGAGGACGGCAGCCAUCAGCCCCCUGUACGUGUACACGCAUGUCUUCCAAGACAGAAAGCUCUUAGAAUAGCGUCUGUGCCGAUGGAGUCUUUCCUAAAAAAGUAUUUCUACUACAUUCAUCAAUACCAUUAAAAAAAAAAAAA
RNAcentral lists this long non-coding RNA (364 nucleotides) under Rattus norvegicus (Norway rat). RNAcentral's name for it is "long non-coding RNA NONRATT010140". Lineage: Eukaryota; Metazoa; Chordata; Mammalia; Rodentia; Muridae. The record is from RNAcentral.